Alligator mississippiensis (American alligator) is the source of this 2301-nucleotide long non-coding RNA. RefSeq lists it as uncharacterized. NCBI's taxonomy places the organism in Eukaryota, Metazoa, Chordata, Crocodylia, Alligatoridae. The record is from RefSeq and is a predicted model, not a curated record. The transcript has 3 exons.
GGAUCAUUAUCAUUUUGAUACUGUAUUUCACUGUACAUUGUAAUUGUCCUGUUAAAACAUUCUUGUUGUGUUAGGAGGCUGGAUAGCUGUCCUUCAAGGAAAGGAGAAUCAAGAGACUUCCUGCCAGGCCCCAAGGAUUUGCUAGUAAUUAUUUUGGCCUCAACAGCCCUUUUGAACUAAGAGACAUUGCCUGAUCAAAUGAACUGCAGCUUGGCUGGAUAAUUGGUCACACACUAAGGCUCAAAACCAAGUUUGGGCAUAUAAGCAUGAAAGCUGCUUUGUGCAGGGAAAUUCUUGCCAGGACUUAAAGAGCAGCAAAAAGAUUGCAUUGGAGGAUGGUGAUGGCUCUGGAAAGAUCUAAACAUCUUAAGAGUUGUAUACCUAUCAUAUUCUCUUGCUUGUUUCUCCAACUCAACUGAAGUGUUUAGCAGUCUUUCUGGUUUGGGCCUACUGGGACAUUUUCAGCCUCAUCACCGCAAUUAAUAAGUAAAAGAUGGCUACUUUCAAAACCAUUUCUGCUACUCCUUCCCAUACUCCUGUAGUUAGGCUCAUGUUUCUUCACAGGUUAAUCAAACCUCUCAACUUUGUUCUCUUGCAAUUUUUUCACAUAUAUUAUAUAAUACACACACACAGAGCUCAAGAGGAUGCCCAUUAGAAAAGCUUAAAAAGGAAACAGACUAAAACAGUUUAGUUGGUGAGAAUGUGAAACUCAAAUAACAACAAAAUGAAUGAUCAAAUUUGUGGCAGAGCACAGGGUGUCUCUGCCACUUUAAGGGCCUGGAGCUGGCAGCCUCCAGGUGCCUGAUUAGGGCAGCCAUUUUGAGGCCUAUAUAAACAAGGCAGUUUGGCUGCAGAAGGGCAGGCAGCAACAUCACCUGGCUGAAAGGCUGCUGUGAAUGAUCUGGAGGCUUGAAGGAGAAUUACUGAAAAGCUGAAGCUGUCUCAUCAAUCUACAAUGCAAACUUUGCUGGGAAAGUUUCCUGUUACACACAAUAUACUGGGGUCUGCAGCAAAGUGGACCAUACCACAUAGUCUGUGGCAAACACCAGGGAACUUCCCAGUGACCUUAACUGCUUAAAAGGUUUCAGAAUGCACACGAGAGAAACUUGCAUGGUAAAUAAUUAAGCAACCUAUGUAAUGAACACUAUUAUUACAUAUCCCACCAUAAACUACGACUAACAACUUUGCCCUUCUCUUGCACAUUUAAAAAUUAUAAAAUGCCUUACAGAAAUCAAAUAGAAGCCAGGAAGUCUCGAGGCAGUAACAUCUUACAAUUUUAUCUGCUUUACAGAUUGGAACAAUGAAAAUUAAGUGAAUCAAUCACUGGCACAGCUAGGAAAAAAGCCCAGGAGUCAUGACUUAGUCCCCUGCAAAUGCCAUUUCCAGUGUAAUUUAGGGCAUGUCAGGACAUAGAAUUGUUCUUUAUUAACGUUGUAUGUGGACAAGGCAUGAGAUGAACUAUUCUGAACUUUCCACAAUGGUCUUGAAUUUCAGGGCUGUGACCCACUGUCUCCACAGAUUCCUGACAUUUGUCUCACACCCACAUCAGGCAAUGUCUUGAUGGGCCUCGUAUUUGCAAAUUGUGCAGGUACACAUUCCCUAAAACUGCCUAGUCACCGUCAGUUUAAGGGUGGCCUUUAGCAGCAGUGAAACUUUGCAAUACAUGGAUAUUAAUAAUCACAUGAGAAUUGUUCAGGAUGGUGUUCAAGAAGUUGCUCCUUGAAACCUGGUUGCUUUACAGCUGACUCGCACUCUGGAAUGAGAGUGUCCAUGCAGGAAGUCACUUUGGGAUCACUACUGUACUUAAAAAUUCAUCUAAUCUUAGUCCAUGUCAACAAUCAAAUGCAGACACACCCUUUAGCUCCUACUUAACUUCUAUGAUUUGCAUUUUUACUUUGGAGGCUUAAUAACUCCCUGGGACACUGAGUAGUCAAUCACACAUUCUGAGUGAGCAUAAGGGAGGUAUAUAGUGUUAUGCUGAGACUGGGUUAUUCUGAUUUGGUAUUUGCUUACAUCCAUUUUACACAGGUGUAAAUGGUGUCUCAAUGGCUGAGACAGCAAAGGAUUUUUUUCUAGGGACCUGUAAAAGGAAUGGUUGGAAAUUAGGGCUGUGCGAAGCUUCGGGUGGCCAAAUCUCCAAAUCUGAAUCGAACCAGGAGACCAAUUAAAAGGUCCGAAUCAAUUCAAAGCUCGCCAAAGCAAUUCGGAAAAGAUUCAGAGUGCUUCAGAGAUUUGGUUAGUCCCUACUGGCUGCAGCAGGGAGCUGGACCCAGACUCCAUGCUGAUAAGUAGGGGGCAGGA